ACAACUUUCAGCAGUGGAAUGUUCUAGGCUCGCACAUCGAUGAAGAACGCUGCGAACUGCGAUACGUAAUGCGAAUUGCAGAAUUCAGUGAGUCAUCGAAAUUUUGAACGCAUAUUGCACUUUCGGGUUAUGCCUGGAAGUAUGUCUGUAUCAGUGUCCGUA
This 162-nucleotide ribosomal RNA is filed under the name Globisporangium ultimum. RNAcentral describes it as "5.8S ribosomal RNA". It matches the Rfam family "5.8S ribosomal RNA". Rfam says of the family: 5.8S ribosomal RNA (5.8S rRNA) is a component of the large subunit of the eukaryotic ribosome. It is transcribed by RNA polymerase I as part of the 45S precursor that also contains 18S and 28S rRNA. Lineage: Eukaryota; Oomycota; Peronosporomycetes; Pythiales; Pythiaceae. The record is from RNAcentral.